CCUACGGGUGACAGCAGUCGAGAAUCAUUCACAAUGGGGGAAACCCUGAUGGUGCGACGCCGCGUGGGGGAAUGAAGGUCUUCGGAUUGUAAACCCCUGUCAUGUGGGAGCAAAUUAAAAAGACAGUACCACAAGAGGAAGAGACGGCUAACUCUGUGCCAGCAGCCGCGGUAAUACAGAGGUCUCAAGCGUUGUUCGGAAUCACUGGGCGUAAGGCGUGCGUAGGCUGUUUCGUAAGUCGUGUGUGAAAGGCGCGGGCUCAACCCGCGGACGGCACAUGAUACUGCGAGACUAGAGUAAUGGAGGGGGAACCGGAAUUCUCGGUGUAGCAGUGAAAUGCGUAGAUAUCGAGAGGAACACUCGUGGCGAAGGCGGGUUCCUGGACAUUAACUGACGCUGAGGCACGAAGGCCAGGGGAGCGAAAGGGAUUAGAUACCCCUGUAGUC
This 446-nucleotide ribosomal RNA is filed under the name uncultured bacterium. Its description in RNAcentral is "partial 16S ribosomal RNA". It matches the Rfam family "Bacterial small subunit ribosomal RNA", at positions 338 to 795 of the family's 1533-position model. The record is from RNAcentral.